RNAcentral lists this ribosomal RNA (398 nucleotides) under uncultured bacterium. RNAcentral's name for it is "bacterial SSU rRNA". It matches the Rfam family "Bacterial small subunit ribosomal RNA", at positions 29 to 418 of the family's 1533-position model. The record is from RNAcentral.
AAUGAACGCUGGCGGCGCGCCUAAUACAUGCAAGUCGAGCGAGAAGACGUAGCAAUACGUUUGUAAAGCGGCGAACGGGUGAGGAAUACAUGGGUAACCUACCCUCGAGUGGGGAAUAACUAGCCGAAAGGUUAGCUAAUACCGCGUACGCUUCUUGGACUUCGGUUCAGGGAGGAAAGCGAUACCGUGGGUAUCGCGCUCUUGGAUGGGCUCAUGUCCUAUCAGCUUGUUGGGAGGUAACGGCUCACCAAGGCUUCGACGGGUAGCUGGUCUGAGAGGACGAUCAGCCACACUGGCACUGCGACACGGGCCAGACUCCUACGGGAGGCAGCAGUAAGGAAUAUUGCGCAAUGGGCGAAAGCCUGACGCAGCAACGCCGCGUGGGGGAUGGACGGCCU